AGAGUUUGAUCAUGGCUCAGGAUGAACGCUAGCUGGAGGCUUAAUACAUGCAAGUCGAGCGGGAUUGGUAGCAAUACCAUGAGAGCGGCGCACGGGUGAGUAACGCGUACACGACCUACCUCUGACAGGGGGAUAGCCCUGGGAAACUGGGAUUAAUACCGCAUAUUAUUCUGAUUAAUAAAGGAUUGGAAUGAAAGUUCAGGCGGUCAGAGAUGGGUGUGCGUCUGAUUAGCUAGUUGGUAGGGUAACGGCCUACCAAGGCGAUGAUCAGUAGGGGGCGUGAGAGCGUGAUCCCCCACACGGGUACUGAGACACGGACCCGACUCCUACGGGAGGCAGCAGUAAGGAAUAUUGGACAAUGGCCGCAAGGCUGAUCCAGCCAUCCAGCGUGCAGGAAGAAGGCCCUAUGGGUUGUAAACUGCUUUUAUCAGGGAAUAAACCUCUGGAUUCACUCCGGAGCUGAAGGUACCUAAGAAUAAG
This 480-nucleotide ribosomal RNA is filed under the name uncultured Haliscomenobacter sp. RNAcentral describes it as "bacterial SSU rRNA". It matches the Rfam family "Bacterial small subunit ribosomal RNA", at positions 8 to 490 of the family's 1533-position model. The record is from RNAcentral. Lineage: Bacteria; Pseudomonadati; Bacteroidota; Saprospiria; Saprospirales; Haliscomenobacteraceae.